Molecule: long non-coding RNA, 858 nt
Organism: Pygocentrus nattereri (red-bellied piranha)
Lineage: Eukaryota; Metazoa; Chordata; Actinopteri; Characiformes; Serrasalmidae
Source: Ensembl
GUAAUAUAUGCUAAUGAGCAAAAAGUGGACAAAUCUGUCAUCAUGUUUUCCUCCUGACUCUACAGGUGAUGAAGGAGUUAACUACAUGGCUGUAGCAACUGAUGUCAUGAGCUGUAUCUACAGAUAGGGUUUGGCUUAUGCCACUUUAGUUCAUUCUACACUUUAGCAGGAGUUGACAUGAUCUGAUUCCUUAUAAUACUGCUUCACUCACUGUACUGGAUUCAAGCAUGAGGAGACAGAUCUUCAUCAUUCUGACUGUGUUACACUCUGUGUCAGGUCAGUCACAAAACAAAUAUGUUCAUCUGACCUGUUCAUUAAUCCAGGAGAAUAUCAUAUACUGACCUGCAACCAUAAUAUCACAUCCUACGACACUAUAUUGUGGUAUCAACAAUCCAUUGAAGACACUUCCCUGAAACUCAUUGCAUAUUUAUAUUACAAAAGAGCGGCUGUUGAAAGUGUUUUCAAGGGUCACUUUAACAUUUCUGGAGAUGGUGAGAAACACUCUGCUCUUCAUGUCUCCAAACUGAGAGCUGCUGAAGACAGUGCUGCGUUUUACUGUGCAGUAAGUCGAGCACAGUGCUAUGAGUGCCCUCCCUCCUCUACAAAAACAUCUACCUGAAGCAGGACCAAAGUUUCAUAUUUACUUAUUUAUUAACAACUUUAGAAUAAACAUUGAGAUGGAGGCAAUAAUGAAAUAUGUCAUAUUUAUAGAUUAGAAUAGUACAAGAAGUAUCCAGUAAGAAGAAAAUCCAGUAAUAUUUGUUAAUUAUGCUCCAACAUGAAACCUACAGUAUGUUCAUACUUUUGACUUUAUCAUUGCACUGGAACUCAUGUAUCUUAAAGUCUUUUAAAAUACUG